CCUACGGGAGGCUGCAGUGGGGGAUAUUGCACAAUGGGGGAAACCCUGAUGCAGCGACGCCGCGUGUGGGAAGACGGUCCUCUGGAUUGUAAACCACUGUCCCCAGGGACGAAGAUGACGGUACCUGUGGAGGAAGCUCCGGCUAACUACGUGCCAGCAGCCGCGGUAAUACGUAGGGAGCGAGCGUUGUCCGGAAUUACUGGGUGUAAAGGGAGCGUAGGCGGGGAUGCAAGUUGGGUGUCAAAACUACCGGCUCAACUGGUAGUCGCACUCAAAACUGCAGCUCUUGAGGGAAGUAGAGGCAGGGGGAAUUCCUAGGGUAGGGGUGAAAUGGGGAGAUAUUAGGAGGAACACCAGUGGCGAAGGCGGCCUGCUGGGCUUUUACUGACGCUGAGGCUCGAAAGUGUGGGGAGCAAACAGGAUGAGAUACCCGAGUAGUC
Molecule: ribosomal RNA, 440 nt
Filed under: uncultured bacterium
Lineage: Bacteria
Description: partial 16S ribosomal RNA
Rfam family: Bacterial small subunit ribosomal RNA
Source: RNAcentral